GAUGAACGCUAGCUACAGGCUUAACACAUGCAAGUCGCGGGGCAGCAUGGGGGUUGCUUGCAAUCCCCGAUGGCGACCGGCGCACGGGUGAGUAACGCGUAUCCAACCUGCCCUUCACCACGGGAUAACCCGGCGAAAGUCGGACUAAUACCGUAUGUUGUCCAUUGACGGCAUCCGAUUUGGACGAAAGGUUUGGCGGUGAAGGAUGGGGAUGCGUCCGAUUAGCUGGACGGCGGGGUGACGGCCCACCGUGGCGACGAUCGGUAGGGGUUCUGAGAGGAAGGUCCCCCACACUGGAACUGAGACACGGUCCAGACUCCUACGGGAGGCAGCAGUGAGGAAUAUUGGUCAAUGGGCGUAAGCCUGAACCAGCCAAGUAGCGUGCAGGGUGACGGCCCUAUGGGUUGUAAACUGCUUUUAUGCGGGGAUAAAGUGGCCCACGUGUGGGUUUUUGCAGGUACCGCAUGAAUAAGGACCGGCUAAUUCCGUG
RNAcentral lists this ribosomal RNA (490 nucleotides) under uncultured bacterium. RNAcentral describes it as "partial 16S ribosomal RNA". It matches the Rfam family "Bacterial small subunit ribosomal RNA", at positions 28 to 507 of the family's 1533-position model. The record is from RNAcentral.